Molecule: ribosomal RNA, 517 nt
Filed under: uncultured archaeon
Lineage: Archaea
Description: bacterial SSU rRNA
Rfam family: Archaeal small subunit ribosomal RNA
Source: RNAcentral
GUAACACGUAGUCAACCUGCCCUGGAGACAUGGACAACCCCGGGAAACUGGGAUUAAUCCGUGAUAGGUCAUCCCAUCUGGAAGGAGAGAUGGCUUAAAGGGAUGCGCGGGCUUCUUCUGCGUAUUUGCUCCAGGAUGGGACUGCGUCCGAUCAGGCUGUUGGCGGGGUAAUGGCCCACCAAGCCAGUAACCGGUACGGGCCUUGAGAGAGGUGGCCCGGAGAUGGACACUGAGAGAAGGGUCCAGGUCCUACGGGGCGCAGCAGGCGCGAAACCUUCGCAAUGCGCGCAAGCGUGACGAGGUUAAUCCGAGUGAUUUCCGCUGAGGAGACCUUUUGUCUGCUGUAAAUAGGCAGGCGAAUAAGGGGAGGGCAAGCCUGGUGUCAGCCGCCGCGGUAAUACCAGCUCCUCGAGUGGUCGGGGCGAUUAUUGGGCCUAAAGCAUCCGUAGCCGGUUCCGUAGGUCCUCUGUUAAAUCCAACCGCCCAACGGUUGACCUGCAGAGGAUACCGCGAGACU